AAGAUACGCCAAGCUUGGUACCGAGCUCGGAUCCAGGAGUACGGCCGCCAGUGUGCUGGAAUUCGCCCUUAGAGUUUGAUCCUGGCUCAGUCGUAACAAGGUAGCCAAGGGCGAAUUCUGCAGAUAUCCAUCACACUGGCGGCCGCUCGAGCAUGCAUCUAGAGGGCCCAAUUCGCCCUAUAGUGAGUCGUAUUACAAUUCACUGGCCGUCGUUUUACAACGUCGUGACUGGGAAAACCCUGGCGUUACCCAACUUAAUCGCCUUGCAGCACAUCCCCCUUUCGCCAGCUGGCGUAAUAGCGAAGAGGCCCGCACCGAUCGCCCUUCCCAACAGUUGCGCAGCCUGAAUGGCGAAUGGACGCGCCCUGUAGCGGCGCAUUAAGCGCGGCGGGUGUGGUGGUUACGCGCAGCGUGACCGCU
This 420-nucleotide ribosomal RNA is filed under the name Pseudomonas sp. BAKZL1105. Its description in RNAcentral is "partial 16S ribosomal RNA". The record is from RNAcentral. Lineage: Bacteria; Pseudomonadati; Pseudomonadota; Gammaproteobacteria; Pseudomonadales; Pseudomonadaceae.